AGCCUCUCCCACGCGUGGAUCAGCCUGUGGAAACGUGACGAACAGCUGCGAACAGAGUCCGGUCCACGCACGGACCAGAAUCCACGAUCGACCUGGACCCUGACCGCGGUCCGGUUCCUGUUUUCCCCGGAUCAGAGGACACACCGUGACCCUGCUCCUGCGCUCAGUUGUAAAGAGAACCCAUAGGUGGCAGUAAUGCGUCCCAAAGAGUGUCAGCUGACCGAGGGAAGGGGGAGGUCCAGGAUCAGCUCACUGUGAGUCACAGAUCUCCAAAAUAAACCACUAGGUGUUGGUAAACACACACACCGUGAGGAGAUUCACCAGUGGACCAGGACCAGGACCAGGACCAGGACCACAGGACCAGGUGGUGGAUCUACGGUGUUAUCUCAUUGGACGACAGCAGAGGCAGUGGAGCAGGAAAACCAGCCGCAGGCCCGACGUCAGAGGCUGGAGGUCCGUGGAUCCUCCCUGACUCCUGCACGGGCCCUUUGUGUCGGCGGAGCGGAGUCUAUUUCUGUCCCACCACAGACGGAGGGAGUGACGGAGCAGCUCCGCUCUCUCCUCCACUCCUCCACCUGGAUCUCCGCACUCAAUCUUUAAUAAACACCAGCAGCCUGGCACCAUGACGGAGCACGGGUGACGAGUCUGUGCAAAAAUGAAAUAAAGUUCAUGCACUUCGACAUGUCAAAACCAAAUGCUGAGAGUUUUAGGGGAAACAGAAAAAAAGAAAAGAAAAUUAAAUAAAUUAAAUAAUUGAAAUGUGACUUUUUUUUCUUCUGAGAACAAGAAUGUUUUGUUUUAAAUCGUGAGAUUAAAAAAAGAGAGAGAGUCAAAAACAGGUCAGGACCACAGAUGGAAAAGUUUCUUGCACGACUGCACGAUUAAAUUAUUCAUAUAUUAUGUUGUGUUUUUAUAAAACAUUUCCUUAUUUCCUUCUGUUUUCUCACCAUCAUCAAACAUGUAAAGUCUCUCACUUCAGUCUCUUUUAUCUGAGCUUCGUCACAGUGACGUCAUGGAGGAAAUCGACAUGAAUUCAUUCAUUCAUUCAUUUUUGUCACAGAUGUUCCUCUGAUUUCACGGGUCAGGUGAC
Molecule: long non-coding RNA, 1090 nt
Organism: Cynoglossus semilaevis (tongue sole)
Lineage: Eukaryota; Metazoa; Chordata; Actinopteri; Pleuronectiformes; Cynoglossidae
Exons: 5
Source: RefSeq, a predicted model, not a curated record